UCUCUGCCUUUGCAGUCAGAGGAAGGGCCCCGGGCUCGGGCCAGGAAGAAUCUGCUCUAAGCUGAUAAAGCCGAAGCCCGUGUGCCAGGAACCCCGUGGUUUUUCUGUCUUUGGAAGUUCUCCCCGCGAGGCCUGGGAGGAGAGGACACUCUCUAGGAGGAGUUUCAGGCCUCAGGCAACCUUUGCACUCAUGGGCCAAUGGGUGGAAGGAUCUGGAAGGAACCCUGAAGGCACCAGGCUCUCCUGAGGGUGCUCAGCCUCACCCUGCCAUGGUCCCAGUUGUCUCCAAGAAACCGUGACAGCUUUUAUCGAAAGGGGACCACUGACCCUCAGCACUCGGAUGCUGUCCAAAGCCAUCAGGGAUGUUGAUGACUGUCCCUCUCUCCGACACUCACACAGAAGACUCCACUCUUUGACAAAAUUCGCGUGUAAGAUCUACAGUGCUCUGUAGUUUGCUUGAAAGUUUAUUCUCUGCAGGGAGGCAAGCAUAACUACCGCUUCUCGGUUCUCCUUAGAGCUUAGGCUGGGGACAAGUGACGUAGGAGGCCUUGCAGCUCGAGGAAACAGCUCUGGAUCCAAACAACCUGAAGAAACAGCAACCCCACUCUGUUCUUUCUCCCAA
Molecule: long non-coding RNA, 622 nt
Organism: Suricata suricatta (meerkat)
Lineage: Eukaryota; Metazoa; Chordata; Mammalia; Carnivora; Herpestidae
Exons: 3
Source: RefSeq, a predicted model, not a curated record